CUCCUUCUCCUUCUCUCCGGACCUGCAAACACGAACUGAAUCAAGAAUCGAGGACCCGUUCGCAAUGCUCUGAUCUCUGUGUGAUGGUGAGCGAAGACAAAACAUAUGAUGGUGCGAGACAUUAAUUACCGAAGGUUUGAUCUAUUCUUCAGUUUAUCUGUAUCCAAUCCAGCCAUUAACUUGAGGAAGGUCGCUUGAGGGCAUCCUCUUCGUAUUCUCAUGAUACAUGUGAACGCCACAAUGAUGAAGCACUGGAAAAUCUUCAGGACAGAGUUUGGCUUCUCAAGAGAAGUUUGCCAAGGCAUAGGGGCCUCUCCAUAUUGUGUCAACAGUGUUCUGAAAACAACAUCUGAUGAUCUGAAAAGAGUAGAAGCACUCAAUGAACAUGUGGUUUCGAGUUUCCAUAUUUUGCUGACAGAGAACACACAGUCAGUGUUAACACCUCUGUUCCAGUUUUGAAUUUGAUCCAUUGUAGAGAGCUUGUUGAGAGUGGCAAGCCAGCUGAUGAAUGCGCAUUUAGGUGUGGCCUGAGGAAAGUAGACACCUGGAACCCAUUCACACUUCGGCUUCUCUUCUCUUAAUAGCUUCCAUGUCUCCUAAGUGGAGAAUUUGCAUUUAAACACUGAGCUUCUCUUCCAAUGAAUGAUGUCGGCUACUUCGUCUUCGAUUAUUGCUUAACACUUCAUCCACAGUGGCGUUUCUUCGUAUACCCACAGGUCGAUGAUCCCCAUCGAUCCCCUAGAACAUCAUAAAAUAUUAUAAAUUUCAGUUUGUAAGCUAUGUUUAUUAAUCAAUUAUGGCUCAGUGGUAGGAAA
Brassica oleracea var. oleracea is the source of this 815-nucleotide long non-coding RNA. RefSeq lists it as uncharacterized. NCBI's taxonomy places the organism in Eukaryota, Viridiplantae, Streptophyta, Magnoliopsida, Brassicales, Brassicaceae. The transcript is spliced from 4 exons. The record is from RefSeq and is a predicted model, not a curated record.